This 263-nucleotide unclassified non-coding RNA is filed under the name fungal sp. RNAcentral's name for it is "partial internal transcribed spacer region". The stretch from base 1 to 46 matches the Rfam family "Eukaryotic small subunit ribosomal RNA", at positions 1786 to 1831 of the family's 1831-position model. The record is from RNAcentral. Lineage: Eukaryota; Fungi.
AAGUCGUAACAAGGUCUCCGUUGGUGAACCUGCGGAAGGAUCAUUAACAAAUCAGAUAUGGGUAUGUCGAGCAAUCGGCACACCCAAUAUAUCAACCCGAACCUGGCAGCAAUGCCGGGCGAGGUGCAGCAUGCCUUGUGUGUGCUGCGGUCGGCCUGGACGUGUUAUGCGGAAGGGCUGGCCACAUAGACGCUUGUAUGUUUGACAGUUUUGUGUGAUUAAUACAAAAAUGACAACUUUUAACAAUGGAUCUCUUGGCUCUU